Molecule: ribosomal RNA, 1441 nt
Filed under: Duganella sp. LT1-9
Lineage: Bacteria; Pseudomonadati; Pseudomonadota; Betaproteobacteria; Burkholderiales; Oxalobacteraceae
Description: 16S ribosomal RNA
Rfam family: Bacterial small subunit ribosomal RNA
Source: RNAcentral
ACAUGCAAGUCGAACGGCAGCACGGAGCUUGCUCUGGUGGCGAGUGGCGAACGGGUGAGUAAUAUAUCGGAACGUACCCAAGAGUGGGGGAUAACGUAGCGAAAGUUACGCUAAUACCGCAUACGAUCUAAGGAUGAAAGUGGGGGACCGCAAGGCCUCGUGCUCCUGGAGCGGCCGAUAUCUGAUUAGCUAGUUGGUGAGGUAAAGGCUCACCAAGGCAUCGAUCAGUAGCUGGUCUGAGAGGACGACCAGCCACACUGGAACUGAGACACGGUCCAGACUCCUACGGGAGGCAGCAGUGGGGAAUUUUGGACAAUGGGGGCAACCCUGAUCCAGCAAUGCCGCGUGAGUGAAGAAGGCCUUCGGGUUGUAAAGCUCUUUUGUCAGGGAAGAAACGGUGAGGGCUAAUAUCCCUUGCUAAUGACGGUACCUGAAGAAUAAGCACCGGCUAACUACGUGCCAGCAGCCGCGGUAAUACGUAGGGUGCAAGCGUUAAUCGGAAUUACUGGGCGUAAAGCGUGCGCAGGCGGUUUUGUAAGACUGUCGUGAAAUCCCCGGGCUCAACCUGGGAAUGGCGAUGGUGACUGCAAGGCUAGAGUUUGGCAGAGGGGGGUAGAAUUCCACGUGUAGCAGUGAAAUGCGUAGAUAUGUGGAGGAACACCGAUGGCGAAGGCAGCCCCCUGGGUCAAAACUGACGCUCAUGCACGAAAGCGUGGGGAGCAAACAGGAUUAGAUACCCUGGUAGUCCACGCCCUAAACGAUGUCUACUAGUUGUCGGGUCUUAAUUGACUUGGUAACGCAGCUAACGCGUGAAGUAGACCGCCUGGGGAGUACGGUCGCAAGAUUAAAACUCAAAGGAAUUGACGGGGACCCGCACAAGCGGUGGAUGAUGUGGAUUAAUUCGAUGCAACGCGAAAAACCUUACCUACCCUUGACAUGGCAGGAAUCCCGGAGAGAUUUGGGAGUGCUCGAAAGAGAACCUGCACACAGGUGCUGCAUGGCUGUCGUCAGCUCGUGUCGUGAGAUGUUGGGUUAAGUCCCGCAACGAGCGCAACCCUUGUCAUUAGUUGCUACGCAAGAGCACUCUAAUGAGACUGCCGGUGACAAACCGGAGGAAGGUGGGGAUGACGUCAAGUCCUCAUGGCCCUUAUGGGUAGGGCUUCACACGUCAUACAAUGGUACAUACAGAGGGCCGCCAACCCGCGAGGGGGAGCUAAUCCCAGAAAGUGUAUCGUAGUCCGGAUUGUAGUCUGCAACUCGACUGCAUGAAGUUGGAAUCGCUAGUAAUCGCGGAUCAGCAUGUCGCGGUGAAUACGUUCCCGGGUCUUGUACACACCGCCCGUCACACCAUGGGAGCGGGUUUUACCAGAAGUAGGUAGCUUAACCGCAAGGAGGGCGCUUACCACGGUAGGAUUCGUGACUGGGGUGAAGUCGUAACAAG